AAGGGUAUAGCUCAGUGGUGGAGUGCAUGCCUUGCAUGCAUCAGGUCCGGGGUUCAAUCCCCCAUACCUCCA
This 72-nucleotide transfer RNA is filed under the name Camelus bactrianus (Bactrian camel). It matches the Rfam family "tRNA". From Rfam's summary of the family: Transfer RNA (tRNA) molecules are approximately 80 nucleotides in length. The record is from Rfam by way of RNAcentral. RNAcentral also lists the same sequence under 1 other name. Lineage: Eukaryota; Metazoa; Chordata; Mammalia; Artiodactyla; Camelidae.